UAUCGUAAAAAUGAUUGAAUAAAUAACGCAUUGAAAAAGAGUAAUUAAAACAAUAAUUUCUGCUACAUGUCAUACCACAGAUGUGACUUUGUAGAUAGUAAAGCCUUUCUUAUGUCGUGUCGUUCCGGGAAUAAUAAAACGUCUCAUCCAUUUGUCUUUUGUGGAUGCCAUCGUUUGUAUAAUUAAACCAUAAAACCAGAAGCUCGAUAAAUUGAUCACUUAUCGUUUUAAUUCGCACAUUUUUACCAUCAUAUUUUCACGUAUCAGGCUUUUUUCUUCUUUUGCGAGGCAUGUAUAAUGCGAUUAGUUAAUUGUCAAUUACUGUCAUUUACAUGCAUUCAUAUUCAUUGGUGUUAUAAAUGUAUCCAUCAUUUGGAAUAACUGUUUAUAAAGUAUGUACUUUAUAAUUCUCAGUAAAAAAUGCACUAUUGUCUACAUAACUUAAGUCACUGCAAACAAAGUUUAAGUCAAUUCUACGUUGUUACACUGGUUUUGUAUAAUAAAUGGGCAACUACCAGAGAAUUAGUGAGCCAUCCACUGACUUCGAUCUAUCCUUUCUUACUGCCUGAGCGCUAUUGCGCGUGCGACUGUUUGUUCUGAACUUAAAAAUCGGUAGAACUAAAGUGAAUAAAAGCAAGAUUACCUAUCGUAGUUUUCAAAUGACGUAUUGAUAGUGGACAAUUUAUUAAAGAAUCGUUCGCUACUGCUUGAGAGAUUAUAUAGUUAUCAAUACCAUUUGUUAAUAGUAGUGUGCUUGUAAAAUUGAAAGUUUGAUUAAUUUGCAAUAAGAAGCACAAUUCGUAUGUGACAAUAUUUAAAUAGAAUAAUUUAUGUUAUCAAAGAAACAAAAGCUGU
This is a long non-coding RNA of Nomia melanderi (Alkali bee), 855 nucleotides long. RefSeq lists it as uncharacterized. Lineage: Eukaryota; Metazoa; Arthropoda; Insecta; Hymenoptera; Halictidae. The record is from RefSeq and is a predicted model, not a curated record.